ACACCUCAACCCUCAUGGUUUACCAUGGUGGGCUUGGACUUUGGGGGUCUUGCUGGACUGUAGUCAGCUCCCCUUAAAUGAAUCAGCUUGCCAGUGUCUGGUGGCAUCACAGGUGUGAUAAUUAUCUACGCUUGUGGUUUUACAUCAGGUAACCUUCAGAGAUGGGGGUUCACUGGGGCUCACAAAAAGGUCUCUCCUCAGUGAGGAUGAUGGCUCUUUGAAC
RNAcentral lists this unclassified non-coding RNA (223 nucleotides) under uncultured Tomentella. RNAcentral's name for it is "sequence contains ITS2". The record is from RNAcentral. Lineage: Eukaryota; Fungi; Basidiomycota; Agaricomycetes; Thelephorales; Thelephoraceae.